This is a long non-coding RNA of Micropterus dolomieu (smallmouth bass), 756 nucleotides long. RefSeq lists it as uncharacterized. The transcript is spliced from 3 exons. NCBI's taxonomy places the organism in Eukaryota, Metazoa, Chordata, Actinopteri, Centrarchiformes, Centrarchidae. The record is from RefSeq and is a predicted model, not a curated record.
CAGAUGCGGUGUUAUAAACAAGACUGAACGUGUCUCAAAAUGUCUACGUUUACUCUCUUCACCAGAGGGUGGCGCUGCUGCGCAUAGAGCUCCUUCAGGUUGAUUUGAGUUAGCGGGCUGACCAAAUCCAAGAUGGAGGGAACAAUCUAGCUACAGAAGUUGACUCUUUUUUUCAAAAAACAAAGAAAAUGAAGAAACAAACAUGUACAACAAUAACUCAGAGGAGGAUGGUGACACCACACAUUUUUGAAGACAAUUCGAAAAAUGAAACCAGUAAGGCGGUGGGAGUAACUUUUAACAACAACUGUUAACUAUGACUAACGUUAGCUAACAUUCGCUCUGCUGGUGAUAGCUGCCUGUAAGGAAAGAGUCAGCUGACCAAACUGAGCACCUUGUUUCAGGGUUUGACCGACCGUCUGUCCAGCCAUCCAAAAUGCUAAGUUGUUGUACUCACUUGUUCUGGUGCUUGGAGCCCUGGAGGUGUGCGUGGUACUGCUCUAUGGAGUUGAGGACCACACUGCAGACACUGCAGGAGUAACUACUGCGCAGCCCUGGAGAGACACAAAUACAGACUUUGCACACCGCAGAGCCGUCACUGCAGAUCUUUACUCAGAUCAGAGAUGAGCAACCUUGGCGUUGCAGGGCUGUACGACAAAACAGUGAACGAUGAAGAGCUUGAAGCUUUUCCCUUUAUCCUGCCCCCCCCCCCCCUUUUGUCUGUGCCUUUUUGAUAAUCAACGUGUCAUUCUGGGUUUG